UCGCAGAAGAAGCACCGGCUAACUCCGUGCCAGCAGCCGCGGUAAUACGGAGGGUGCAAGCGUUAAUCGGAAUUACUGGGCGUAAAGCGCACGCAGGCGGUUUGUUAAGUCAGAUGUGAAAUCCCCGCGCUUAACGUGGGAACUGCAUUUGAAACUGGCAAGCUAGAGUCUUGUAGAGGGGGGUAGAAUUCCAGGUGUAGCGGUGAAAUGCGUAGAGAUCUGGAGGAAUAC
RNAcentral lists this ribosomal RNA (231 nucleotides) under Acinetobacter baumannii. RNAcentral's name for it is "partial 16S ribosomal RNA". It matches the Rfam family "Bacterial small subunit ribosomal RNA", at positions 479 to 709 of the family's 1533-position model. The record is from RNAcentral. Lineage: Bacteria; Pseudomonadati; Pseudomonadota; Gammaproteobacteria; Moraxellales; Moraxellaceae.